CGCCGCCCCAGCCCGCGCCGCCCUGGCCGCGCCCGCCCCGUCCCAUCUCGUUCCAGCGGGGCGCCGCGGUUCCUGGGUCAGCGGCCGCCGGGGCCGGGCUGAGAGGUGCGGAGGGCAGAGCCCGCGGGCGGGUUACCGCCGGGCGCCGGAGACCGGAGAGCUGGGGAAAGCGGCGCCGGCCCUGCGCCCCCAGCCGACCCGGGCGCGGGGCGCCACGGGCGUGGGGCGCGGGGCAGCGGGCGCGGGGCGGCGCCGGCCCCGGGCGGCUCUCCCACUAGGGGUAGCUGUUGCCUGAACGCCGGAGCGCUCCCCUCUCGCCGCUUGCCUCGCCCAGCGCAGCCCCGGCCGCUGGGCGCACCCGUCCCGUUCGUCCCCGGACGUUGCUCUCUACCCCGGGAACGUCGAGACUGGAGCGCCCGAACUGAGCCACCUUCGCGGACCCCGAGAGCGGCGGCGCGACUCACCGCGGAGGCGCCCGGACGCGUCAAUGUCCCCCAGGGCAAGGCCUGAACCAGGUCGCGAGGGUCUGUCUCCCGUCUGGGGAGCUGAACUGCCCGAGACACUGUCGCAGUCGCGGGGACUUGUCUGGAGCGGCGGGGUCUGAGCCCAAGUCGGAAGCCGCCGCCGCCGCCAGCGUCCCGUGCGCCUGCCGCCCCGGGACCAGCCGCGAAACUUCUUCUCGGGACGGAGACAGCGCUCGCCGCCCGGGCCGAGGUGUCCUACGGGCCUGAUGGAAAGGUGGCAGGCGAAAUGCACCUGGCCUCAGCGUCAGGGGCUGUGAAUGCAGUAGCACUUGUAGCUAUGAGGUCAGAGUGGACUAGGAUGGUCCUUCCACCAAGAAGCCUGGGCCUUCCUGCUCUUCGUUGUCCAGCUGCAGAAACUGAUCUCAUCCCUCAGGGCUUGGCACAACUGCCCCUUCCUCCUCACAUUCCCAAAUAUACCUACCCCUCCCCAACUCAAUCCUCCUCACCAGACUGUGGCUCCAGGAUGACAGGGCAGAGUUGGACUCACCUGUGUCUGCCAGGCCAGCUCACCGUGGGGGCAGGUCCCAAGAGGCCUCUGGAUUUGGACCAACUUCCAGUGUGACCUUGAACAAGGCCUUCGCCUCCCUCAGCCUCCGUUGCAUGAGGGGUUGUGCUGGCACAUCUCAGAGCAGGUAGCGCUACCUGGUGAGUUGAGGGCUCUGUCCAUCAUCUUUGUCACUGUAAUGCUGGGUAACAAAUAAACACGAAACAAUGAGU
Molecule: long non-coding RNA, 1241 nt
Filed under: Homo sapiens (human)
Lineage: Eukaryota; Metazoa; Chordata; Mammalia; Primates; Hominidae
Description: HSALNT0379384
Rfam family: mir-1247 microRNA precursor family (bases 348-421)
Source: RNAcentral